This 801-nucleotide ribosomal RNA is filed under the name Coniella vitis. Its description in RNAcentral is "eukaryotic LSU rRNA". It matches the Rfam family "Eukaryotic large subunit ribosomal RNA", at positions 92 to 919 of the family's 3401-position model. Lineage: Eukaryota; Fungi; Ascomycota; Sordariomycetes; Diaporthales; Schizoparmaceae. The record is from RNAcentral.
AGUGAAGCGGCAACAGCUCAAAUUUGAAAUCUGGCUUCGGCCCGAGUUGUAAUUUGCAGAGGAUGUUUCUGGCGCGGUGCCUUCCGAGUUCCCUGGAACGGGACGCCAUAGAGGGUGAGAGCCCCGUAUGGUUGGAUACCAAGCCUGUGUGAAACUCCUUCGACGAGUCGAGUAGUUUGGGAAUGCUGCUCAAAAUGGGAGGUAAAUCUCUUCUAAAGCUAAAUAUUGGCCAGAGACCGAUAGCGCACAAGUAGAGUGAUCGAAAGAUGAAAAGCACCUUGAAAAGGGGGUUAAACAGUACGUGAAAUUGUUGAAAGGGAAGCGCUCAUGACCAGACUUGUGCUGGGCAGCUCAUCCGGGGUUCUCCCCGGUGCAUUCUGCCCAGUUCAGGCCAGCAUCGAUUUUUGCUGGGGGAUAAGAACGGUAGGAACGUGGCCCUCCUUCGGGAGGGUGUUAUAGCCUACCGUACGAUACCCUAGCGGAGAUCGAGGUUCGCGCAUCUGCAAGGAUGCUGGCGUAAUGGUCAUCAGCGACCCGUCUUGAAACACGGACCAAGGAGUCGUCCAUUAGAGCGAGCGUUUGGGUGUAAAACCCGCACGCGUAAUGAAAGUGAAAUUAGGUGAGAGCUUCGGCGCAUCAUCGACCGAUCCUGAUGUUCUCGGAUGGAUUUGAGUAAGAGUUUUAACGGACGGACCCGAAAGACAGUGAACUAUGCUUGUAUAGGGUGAAGCCAGAGGAAAACUCUGGUGGAGGCUUCGCAGCGGGUUCUGACGUGCAAAUCGAUCGUCAAAUAUGAGCAUG